This 484-nucleotide ribosomal RNA is filed under the name uncultured bacterium. Its description in RNAcentral is "partial 16S ribosomal RNA". It matches the Rfam family "Bacterial small subunit ribosomal RNA", at positions 30 to 507 of the family's 1533-position model. The record is from RNAcentral.
AUUGAACGCUGGCGGCAGGCCUAACACAUGCAAGUCGAGCGGUAGAGAGAAGCUUGCUUCUCUUGAGAGCGGCGGACGGGUGAGUAAUGCCUAGGAAUCUGCCUGGUAGUGGGGGAUAACGUUCGGAAACGGACGCUAAUACCGCAUACGUCCUACGGGAGAAAGCAGGGGACCUUCGGGCCUUGCGCUAUCAGAUGAGCCUAGGUCGGAUUAGCUAGUUGGUGGGGUAAUGGCUCACCAAGGCGACGAUCCGUAACUGGUCUGAGAGGAUGAUCAGUCACACUGGAACUGAGACACGGUCCAGGCUCCUACGGGAGGGAGCAGUGGGGAAUAUUAGACAAUGGGCGAAAGCCUGAUACAGCCAUGGCGCGUGUGAGAAGAAGGUCUUCGGAUUGUAAAGAACUUUAAGUGGGGAGGAAGGGCAGUAAAUUAAUACUUUGCGGGUGUGACGUUACCGACAGAAUAAGCACCGGCUAACUCUGUG